RNAcentral lists this small nucleolar RNA (94 nucleotides) under Leishmania donovani. RNAcentral describes it as "C/D box snoRNA LD36Cs3C1". Lineage: Eukaryota; Euglenozoa; Kinetoplastea; Trypanosomatida; Trypanosomatidae. The record is from RNAcentral.
GACGACGACGACAACUGAACCUCAUUUGCAAUACACAGUUGGUGAGAGCCUUUCUUUCGAUGAUGAUGCACGAGUUAAUCCAUUCUCUGAGUCU